CAAGUCGAACGGUAGAGGGGGCAACCCCUUGAGAGUGGCGAACGGGUGAGUAAUAUAUCGGAACGUGCCCAGUCGUGGGGGAUAACGUAGCGAAAGUUACGCUAAUACCGCAUACGAUCUAAGGAUGAAAGCGGGGGAUCGCAAGACCUCGCGCGACUGGAGCGGCCGAUAUCAGAUUAGGUAGUUGGUAGGGUAAAGGCCUACCAAGCCAACGAUCUGUAGCUGGUCUGAGAGGACGACCAGCCACACUGGAACUGAGACACGGUCCAGACUCCUACGGGAGGCAGCGGUGGGGAAUUUUGGACAAUGGGCGAAAGCCUGAUCCAGCCAUUCCGCGUGCAGGAUGAAGGCCCUCGGGUUGUAAACUGCUUUUGUACAGAACGAAAAGGUUUCUAUUAAUACUAGGAGCUCAUGACGGUACUGUAAGAAUAAGCACCGGCUAACUACGUGCCAGCAGCCGCGGUAAUACGUAGGGUGCAAGCGUUAAUCGGAAUUACUGGGCGUAAAGCGUGCGCAGGCGGUUAUAUAAGUCAGAUGUGAAAUCCCCGGGCUCAACCUGGGAACUGCAUUUGAGACUGUAUAGCUAGAGUACGGUAGAGGGGGAUGGAAUUCCGCGUGUAGCAGUGAAAUGCGUAGAUAUGCGGAGGAACACCGAUGGCGAAGGCAAUCCCCUGGACCUGUACUGACGCUCAUGCACGAAAACGCGGGGAGCAAACAGGAUUAGAUACCCUGGUAGUCCACGCCCUAAACGAUGUCAACUGGUUGUUGGGUCUUUACUGACUCAGUAACGAAGCUAACGCGUGAAGUUGACCGCCUGGGGAGUACGGCCGCAAGGUUGAAACUCAAAGGAAUUGACGGGGACC
This 863-nucleotide ribosomal RNA is filed under the name uncultured Burkholderiales bacterium. RNAcentral's name for it is "bacterial SSU rRNA". It matches the Rfam family "Bacterial small subunit ribosomal RNA", at positions 58 to 921 of the family's 1533-position model. The record is from RNAcentral. Lineage: Bacteria; Pseudomonadati; Pseudomonadota; Betaproteobacteria; Burkholderiales.